Molecule: long non-coding RNA, 320 nt
Organism: Zingiber officinale
Lineage: Eukaryota; Viridiplantae; Streptophyta; Magnoliopsida; Zingiberales; Zingiberaceae
Exons: 3
Source: RefSeq, a predicted model, not a curated record
UCCUGAAGGUUUUCCUGACAGUGUGACACCUUCUUAUGUCCCAUAUAUGAGAUGGAGGGCUUUGAAGCAUUUCUUUGGUGGAGCCAUGGGUGUUUUCACAACACGGACACUGUUAAACUCUGUAGGAGUAUCCAAAAAUACAGCUGCAUCAGUGCUGUUGCCAUCAAUUGGAUACUCAAGACAAAGGAGAUUUGAUGGAGAUCAAACAUUUUGUGGCACACGAAGAUGACUAUAUGUAUUCUUAGUGUUGUUGGAUGGAUGAUGGACUUAUAAAACAUUGGGUUGUUGAACUUUGUAUCAUAUUUUCUAGCAGCUUGAAC